GUUAAGUGGGCACACUGCUACCUCCUUCACAGGGCUGCUGAGAAGAAAGGAGACAGGCGCAUCCGCACACAGAAAGCACUCAGUAAAUGCUGUUUCCCCCCUUCCCCCUAUACAAAGAGACUGAAAGCAACCGCGGCUGCCCGGAGGUCCGAACUGGAGGGUGGCCGCAGCCGUGACUUCCUUGGGAACCGCGCUGCCUCGACUCGGCUACCUCUCUGCGAAGCACUCGCUAAGCCGGGCAGCCCCGGGGUCGCUUAGCGGCCCAGGAGGCGCCAGCGAUCCUGUUCCCCUGCAGAGCUAUGGGGACCGGAAGGCGAAACAGAGCUGUCGACGCGGGAGCAUACGCUGCCCACCAGUGGAGCGCAGGUAAAGAAAGAGCGCGCGAUUUCCCGGCGCGGAGAGGGGUGGGGGAAGCCCCACCAGGACUGGGCGGCGCCCGGCUUGGAGAAUCAGUAACUGCGAGGCAGGGGAUGGAGCACUCCCAUGGCCUGGUUGCGCUGAGAAAGGAGUUGUGGCUCAUCUGGAUGCUGCCGACUGGGUAGGAUUUAUGAUUUGCCUGGAUUGAAGUGGGCGGGGGUGUUGUCGGGCGUCGGGGGCGGGUGUUCGGGGAGGUGGCAAGGGGCGGGAGAAGACGAUCGCAAGCUGUCUUGAACCCCUUUUGCAUCUCCUCAUCUCUUCCUGGGAAGGAAUAUGGGGGUGGGAGGUCAUCCAACUUCUAGUCCCUUUCUCUCCGGCAGGUCAUCAAAGCCGAAUCCGAAUUUGAAUUCUGUGCGGCUGAUUGCAGAGCUGUCUUGAGGCCCUGAGGACUGGGAUCUGCGACCCCCAGUGGACAAAAGUCGACUCUACCCCAGAGGCUAAUUUUCUCAAGGCAGGCACCUGUUGAGAGGCUGCAAGUAAAAUACAGGGGAACGCUAGUUUCCGAGCUCAUGUAAGAAUCUGAGAAAUAACGGGGGUAAACUUUGACAAAGGGGUGUGUGAUUGAGACCUGAGGUCAUGAGAUUAAUGGGUUCUUAUUACCUCUUGCGGGGGGAGGUAGUAAAGGGGAGGGGCAGGUGGCCUGUGGCGUCCUGAAGAUUUUUCAUGCAUUCUUUUUCCGAGAACUAAACAUUGUCAACUCUAAUAUAUCUAUAGCGCA
This is a long non-coding RNA of Homo sapiens (human), 1135 nucleotides long. Ensembl annotates it as TMSB15B antisense RNA 1. Its record names the gene TMSB15B-AS1. Lineage: Eukaryota; Metazoa; Chordata; Mammalia; Primates; Hominidae. The record is from Ensembl.